Molecule: long non-coding RNA, 593 nt
Organism: Populus nigra (black poplar)
Lineage: Eukaryota; Viridiplantae; Streptophyta; Magnoliopsida; Malpighiales; Salicaceae
Exons: 2
Source: RefSeq, a predicted model, not a curated record
UCUCAAACCAAGUCCUCCUCCAUAGCAGGUGGCUCUAGUGGUCUCGGAGCUUGGUUGUUGUUGAAGUUUUGCAGCUGCUCUCUGUGCUUCUGCAUGCCCUCCUCUGUCAUCCCCUCCAUUCGUGACCUGGCUGCGUGCGUAUGUGUUGAACUUGAAGCUUGGUUGUUGUGAUGGAUGCCGGUUUGACUGCCUCAUUCUUUCCAGCAAAACGGGCUAAGUGCCUGUUUAGCAUUCAAGAAAGGGUAAAAAAACACAAAAGCUUUUCCCAAUUCAUUUGCCUUUGCCCCCUCUCUGUCUCUCUCCGAACAUAAAGGGUAAAAAAUAGAAACAAGAACACAAAUGGGGCAAGGGGCAAAAUCUAAUUCAUCUUCGAUCAAAACAAGAUAACUGGUAGCCCAAACUUAAAAUCUUUUUUUCUUGUUUUGGGAUGAAUUUGGGCAAAGUGAGCAGCCCGAUGAUGCAUUACAAAGUCAGAGGAGAGCAAGCCACCCGAUGAUGCAUUACAGAGUCCAGGAUUGUUUGUGCAGAUCUUAGCUGGGAUAUAUCUUUUGUAGUAAGGUUCUGAAAAUUUAAACGAAAAGACAGUUUAAACA